Molecule: ribosomal RNA, 372 nt
Filed under: Triticum aestivum (bread wheat)
Lineage: Eukaryota; Viridiplantae; Streptophyta; Magnoliopsida; Poales; Poaceae
Description: partial small subunit ribosomal RNA
Source: RNAcentral
AUGCCUCGCCAGACGGGGGAAAGAAAAAGACAGCGAGAGCCCAGUGGCCAUGGCUACAUGGUUUCUUUCUUCCCUUUAUCCAACGUUUCUUCGCCGGAAUCAUUGCUUGCCCACUGGAGCAGCCGAUCGCAUCUUCUUCUGAGGAAAGAAGAGGGUUUUGCGUGCGACGGUUUGCUGGACUCCAGGGGAAUAAUUACGUUUCAACAACUUAGCAUGAUAACUUAUUAUGAAUAUAUGUCCUCAAAUGUAGACAAUGGAGAUGCUCUGAAUGUAAGGGUGUAUUGUACUGUUGUCCCAUCUUUCUAUGACACGAACAGACGGCCGGCAUGGCAAGCCGAGGAAACAUCGUUCAGCUCUUGUCCGACAAAGUAA